RNAcentral lists this small nuclear RNA (107 nucleotides) under Tursiops truncatus (common bottlenose dolphin). Lineage: Eukaryota; Metazoa; Chordata; Mammalia; Artiodactyla; Delphinidae. The record is from RNAcentral.
GUGCUCGCUUCAGCAGCACAUAUACUAAAAUUGAAACGAUACAGAGAAGAUCAGCAUGGCCCCUGCGCAAGGAUGACACGCAAAUUCAUGAAGCGGUCCGUAUUUUA